ACCAAAUGACUCCUUCUACCAUAUUAUGUUGUUCCCCAAGUUUUGGAUUCAAUUCGAUAUCGAUUAGUACAUGAAACUGGACAAUUCUGGUUCGUACUACGUUUGUUCUGAAAUGGAGUGGUUCAUGUAUUGCAUAGUUCUAGAGAUUGGAUUGUACUCAAAACAUACCAAAUGAGUCCUCCCACAACAUUUUGAUGUUCCCCAAGUUUUGGGCUCAAUCCAAUAUCGAUUGGUCCAUGAAAUUGGACAAUUCUGGUCUGUACGAAGUUCGUUAUGAAAUGGAGUGGUUGGUGUAUUGCAUAGUUUUAGCCUUUGGAUUUCUCUCAAAACUCACCAAAUGACUCCUCC
This 348-nucleotide long non-coding RNA is filed under the name Prunus persica (peach). RNAcentral's name for it is "long non-coding RNA (PPER_LNC006192)". Lineage: Eukaryota; Viridiplantae; Streptophyta; Magnoliopsida; Rosales; Rosaceae. The record is from RNAcentral.